This 451-nucleotide unclassified non-coding RNA is filed under the name Hevea brasiliensis (rubber tree). Lineage: Eukaryota; Viridiplantae; Streptophyta; Magnoliopsida; Malpighiales; Euphorbiaceae. The record is from RNAcentral.
GCAGGUACCACCACGAGCCUUUACAACGAAAAGGGCGGGGUUUACAGCAUACUCGAAGCGGUAUAAGACUCCACCAGCAAGGAAACAGUCGAGGCACGAGGAGACGACUCCGUGGGACUCAGCUAGUUGGGUGGUGCAGUUUGGGCAGGGGAUUUGAGUUCGGUUUGGUCCCGAGCUGACUAGUAUGAAAUCUAAGACGGUGCCCGUCCCCACUUCUUGACCUCGUCCUCGGGUGAAAUGGAUAACCUUAUCAUUUCCCAUAUAUAUACCGUGAUGAGCGUAGACAUAGGCCGUCCUCCACGAGUAGAUGUGAUCUCCCGGCUUCAAUCCCUCCCUCCCAAUCCUGUUAGAGAGGAGGCCCAUUGAGUUCGAGCUCCACCGGGAUCGCGGUAUGGGAGGUGGGAGAGGGGAGAGCAGUUGCAGGGAUCACCGCUUUUAGAUUUGGGGCGGC